This 468-nucleotide ribosomal RNA is filed under the name uncultured bacterium. RNAcentral describes it as "partial 16S ribosomal RNA". It matches the Rfam family "Bacterial small subunit ribosomal RNA", at positions 28 to 506 of the family's 1533-position model. The record is from RNAcentral.
GACGAACGCUGGCGGCGUGCUUAACACAUGCAAGUCGAACGGAAAGGCCCUGCUUUUGUGGGGUGCUCGAGUGGCGAACGGGUGAGUAACACGUGAGUAACCUGCCCUUGACUUUGGGAUAACUUCAGGAAACUGGGGCUAAUACCGGAUAGGAGCUCCUGCUGCAUGGUGGGGGUUGGAAAGUUUCGGCGGUUGGGGAUGGACUCGCGGCUUAUCAGCUUGUUGGUGGGGUAGUGGCUUACCAAGGCUUUGACGGGUAGCCGGCCUGAGAGGGUGACCGGGCCACAUGGGGGUGGGGAUACGGCCCAGACCCCUACGGGGGGGGGAGGGGGGGAAAAUGGCACAAGGGGGGAAAGCCUGUGGCGGAAACCCGGCGGGGGGGGGGAGGGCCUUGGGGUGGAAAACCGCUUUCCCCUGGGACAAGGCGUAAGGGAGGGAAAUGGGGAAAAAAGCACCGGCAAACUACGU